RNAcentral lists this small nuclear RNA (53 nucleotides) under Carlito syrichta (Philippine tarsier). Its description in RNAcentral is "U7 small nuclear RNA (ENSTSYG00000037477.1)". It matches the Rfam family "U7 small nuclear RNA". From Rfam's summary of the family: Animal histone pre-mRNAs are spliced by a different mechanism than nuclear pre-mRNAs and self-splicing introns. Lineage: Eukaryota; Metazoa; Chordata; Mammalia; Primates; Tarsiidae. The record is from Rfam by way of RNAcentral.
CGGUGUUACAGCUCUUUUAGAAUUUGUCUACCAGUUUCUACUAGAAAAUCUCU